RNAcentral lists this long non-coding RNA (6841 nucleotides) under Homo sapiens (human). RNAcentral's name for it is "non-protein coding lnc-MED4-3:1". Lineage: Eukaryota; Metazoa; Chordata; Mammalia; Primates; Hominidae. The record is from RNAcentral.
GGAUCCCGGCGCGCCUCGGAGAGGGAUGGGUGUCCCUCUGGGCCGCCUGGAAUUUCCAGUUCUGAAUUCGCUCCCAACCAGGUUACCUCCAGGCCGAGUGCUGCAGGUUUGUAGCGAAAUCGAGUGAACUUUCCUGAGUUCGCCGGGUACAAGGGACUAACCUUUGGCAGCACCAGACCGCCGCUUCCCUGUACCCUGUCCCCACCGCGAGCCUAAAGGCCAUGGAAUUUUUGUGCAUCCACAUCUUCAUUUUCUCACUUAUUAGGUAACCGACUCAGUGGAGCACAAACAUGUUUAAAGCUCUCUGUCCUUGAGAUCUGACUUUAUCUUUCACGGACCUCACCCAAGGGCGUUUACCUGGCUCAGACCUGCCUGGUCUUCCUUCCCUCUCUCAGGAGGUCAGGGCCUGUUCUGCCUAGUCCCAGACCAAUGUGGAGGAAGCUCUUGGCAGAUUUGUAUUUCAAACAUCUCACACUCGUAAAACGAAAUGUUCCACUCUUGUGCGUACUUGGAAAAAAACCACAUGCACACUUGGCUGAUUUGUGACUCAAAGUACUCGAUGACGAGUCCCUUUAUUUUUCUGCAAAAUGAAAAAAUAAUUAAGGAUAACGCAAAAUUCUCAUGUUUUGAAGACGUUUCAUUUACAACUAAUGCGAGGUAGAAUACUGGCUCCCGUCGUUACUGCGUUCAUUACUGUGUCAACAGACGGCCCCCUUGGACAAAUGUGUUAUCUUGUAUCCUUCCACCCCAUUCUGUCCUGGUUCAUCCAGAGUUGUGGGUGUGCUCUAGAAUGUUACAGCUGUGUCAGCUCUGCCUUGGGCCAACCCUGAAAAAAGUGGGUUCAGUCUGAGAUCUUUGGGGAUUUGGCCCUGCUCAAGGAGGGAGUUGGGUAUUUCCAUAGAAUGUCAGAUCAUAAGUCCCAGGGAAACAGCCCAAGAUCUCCAAAUCCUUCUGUUCAUGUAUUUCAGAAGCAUCCUGGGCUGAGAUAGAAACCCAGGCCAGACUUUGAGUUUGCUUUGGGUAUUCAGAAAUUCCUGUCAAAAUGAAAUCUGCUCAACCAAGAGGAGGAUGAGUUAGGUUCCAGUUCUGGUGAGUUUUAACAGUAGCUAACCAUACUUGCAGCAACUUAUUUAAACUCCUGGGUCGCCCUUGUGCAGGCAUCGGCUCUGUGAGGUUGACUCUAUGGACUGGACUUUCAUAGUAUCUAAUGUUAUCUAAUUCCUCAAAGUCAACGACUGCUUCCAGCUCCCUAGUUUAAUAGGUUCCCUGAGACAUUACAGUUGAAGACUAAGUAUUUCUGGAAGCAAGAUCUGGAGGAUUAUAAAUAAUUAUAUGUACAUCCUUCCUACUUCGUUCUGUGUUAAAAUAAGAUGGUAGAAAAAUACUCAAGGCAUUUUGCAGUAGAUGAUAGAGAAGAAUCUGGCUGUCAUUAUACUCCGGGGGGAAAAAAGGAAUUACAGAAGAAAAUAAAACAAAAUUCUUCGUGAACAACACUACUGAACAGACUAGGAAGCUGAGGCAAAGGAUGAACAAAUGAGGUUGACAAAACUAGAAAUCCUCCCCGCCCCAGGAUUUCUAUUUUGAAAGACUCAUGAAUAAAAGACCAUUCAUUAUUUUGUGUACUUGCAGUGAGCAACAGUUUAAAAUCAGUUGGCAACCGGUCUGGGAAUAAUCUCCUGGUUUUUUUUCUCCAUUUUAUCUCAUGUGUCUACAGAACUGUGUAGUGCACAACAGCAGGGAUAAUAAAGACGCUGGAGCAAGACCAAACAUAGCAAAUCCAGUCUUGUGAUUUAGAAAAGGUUGCCCGUUGACCCUGAAAACUUAGGAGCCAGGGAGGAGGAGAGUCCAUGACUCAACAAAAGAAAGUUAAAAACAUAGUUAUAAGUUACUAUUAACUACCAAAUGUAAAGGGAGUCUUAGAGGACCUUUGUUUUCCUUUUUGACGUUGAGUUUGAGAGAGCAAGAUGAAUCUGAUUCCAGCUCUGCAUAUCACCAGCAACCAUGUUUGUUUUUAUGCUUACCAAAGGAGGGAGGAAAAAAUGGAAGUGGGGAACUGAAUUCUAAAAUAUUUUAAUAGAUUUGCAUUAUGUGCUUCAACAGGGAUUUUUUUUUUCUUUUUAGGUUCUUUACAUCUCUAUUCUGUCUGUUCUUUCUCAAGGAAACAAUUCCUUAUUCAGAGAAAUUUCUUGUGGUUUUACAGAAUGAUUGGAAAACUUUAUUUUAUUUUAUUUUUCACAAGUAUAGGGUCCUUGGUGAAACAACGUCACUGAAUAAGCCCUUUGAAAUGUGCUCCUGUUGCCUCUUCUCUUAACCCAAUGUGUGAGUUUAGCUGGUCAUCUUGUGGCUUUGUCUGAACUUUCAUAAAAGAAGUGUUUCUUCUAGGUGAGAGCUUUGAAGGCUUUGACUGACCUCUUCAGAGACUUAAGCACUGUUUAUUUUUCUUACCGACUUCCUAUUUCAAUAUUAUAUAUGCUUUUCAAUUAUUUUAAUUUAUUUUAUAUAAAUUAUUUUCAUGUAAUUUUAAAAUAAUUUAUCAUUAUUUUCCUUGAACUAGCAGAUGCAUUUUUUUUUCUUUUUCAAAUCUUGGGCUCUAUAAUAUCCCGAGACCCUUUAGGAAUUAUCCUAAUAACAAAUGCAGAUCUCUUUUGAUUUGACUGGCUGUGGCACUUGGGAUUUUUGUUUUGCUUUGUGAAAAGACUGGAUAUGCUCUGCACUGAUGAAAGAGAGGGAGAAGCUGGGUGAGCCACCAUGCCGGGCCCCCAGCGUUAGUUUUAUGAAGAAUUGGACUGUGUAUAACAGAAACAAACACAUACAUACUGCAAACUUGGAGUCUUAAUGGUAUUUAAUCAAAAGCAAUUCAAUUCACUGUUUAAAAACCUUUGCCACAUUACCUAUUCACUUUAUAAAAAUCACGUUCAUCAUCAUGGAGAUGAAAAAGGUUCCUUGUUAAUGGCGAGUAAGUGGGUGGCUGCAGAAGACUGUGCAAAGAUACAGACAUAAAGGAAGAGAGAAAUUGGGCAGAGAGGGCGUGGGGUAUGGGAAGUAGAAGAAAGGACACAUGUCAUUAAGAACAAGUCGUUCUGUGAAACAGGAAUUUGAACUAAUAAAUCCUGUUGUCUAAUGGAAUGCACCCAAGAAGAAAAUAAACAGCUCAGUUGGUUGAAGACAGAUUUCUAAGAAGUUUUUCUUAUUGAGUACCCAAGGGAAAGCCAGUAUUUCAGAAGCUCUGGUGUCCAUGGUCAAAUGGUAUUUUCAAACAACUGUGGAGAGAAGUCAAGAUGCAUACACUUGGAGUCAUUAAAUAAUGAGGAAGACAAGGUGGUGAGAAAUCAUUGCUAAACUGCAGUUCACCCCGUGCCUGCCAACAGAUACAGAGCAGACAAGCUUGUGUUCCUGAGGUUACGCUGCUCUCAUUUAGAGCACCACUAAGCCAAAUGAAGAAUAUUACUUAUAUAUAGCAGACUCUUCCUCAGGGAGGAACCCGAGGAAAGUCACAAAAAAAGUAGAGGAAGCCGAAAGAGUGUUUUUAGUCUCACACAUCCUGUACUUUUUUUUCAGCUGCUAUUUUGAAAGAUAAACAUUACAUUUGUGGUUGAGUCGUCUUCCAGGUUAGAGAAAACAAAACAAUAUGGUUGUGAAAAGAAGAGGCCUGUGAUGGAGCUAAUGACCUUGGAAAGGCAGACUGCUUUCCUGGUUUUCAAAACAAAACAAACCAAAACAAACCAUUUUUAAAAAGUGGUUGAACAACGGUAAAGCCCUUGCAUCUAUCUCCAGUGCCCCUAGGCCCCCAGCUGGUUCUAGAGUGACCUAGACACAAAGAUGCUCUGUCCAGUGUGAGCAGAGGAAUGGCAUGCCGUCCCUGUAUAGCCAAUUCCACCUUCAGCUUUCAUUCGAUUGGCAUUUUGUAGGCAGGAAGUUGUGUUCAACUCAGGUUUUAUUGAAACUAGGGCAUUUCUAUAUUCUUCUUAAUUUGAAAAUGAAAGCAAAUUUUAUUUAGGAAGCUAGUGGAGUUUUCUUGUGGGUUUGAAGGCAAUCUCACUUUACCAAUGGGUCAAUUCCAUAGAUCCUUUUGUUUCCUAUUAGAUACCAAAAGUGGCUCCUACUUACUAUAUCCAAAACCCUGCUGUCAUCACACAGGGCACCGCUAAAGCCUAUAGUCAGCUGAGAGAUCAGAGAAUUUGAGAGGAAGAAACCAACCUAUAUGGCAUUAGUAGAGCAGUGGGUGGAAAUGCCUGCUGGUCUAGAUAUUAUUGGGCCUCCUUGAGAAAUUACUCAAUAUGACUGAUAACAUGUGUUGAAAGGUGUUGCAGAGUGGCUUCCUUUAUACAGUCUACAGUGGAAUUGACUUGUAAUGGUGCCAUUAGGUCGGAAUUGGAAGACAGAUAGGGAUCCAGAAGACCCCAGAUGCAUGAUUCUUAAACCUCCCAAUAAUAAAAUAUAUUGUUGAUUGGCAUUGUGUUAGGAUUCCUAUGGCUGCUCUAACAAAUUAUCACAAAUUUUGUGGCUUAAAACAACUGAAAUUUAUUCUCUCACAGUUCUGGAGGCAAGAAGUCCUAAAUCAGUGUCACCAGGCAGAAAUCAAGGUACUGGCAGAGCUGUCCUCCCUCCAGAUGCUCCAGGUGAGAAUCUGUUCUCUGCCUUUUCCAGUUUCUGACAUUCUUUGGUUUGUGGCUUUAUCACUUCAUUCACUCCAUCUUCAAAUUUUUCUCUGCUCCUUCACAUCAUCCUCUCUCUCUCAAUCUCUCUCUCUCUCUCUCUCUGUGUCUGUGUGUGUGUGUGUGUGUGUGUGAGAGAGAGAGAGAGAAAGAGAGAGAGAGAGAGAUCUCCCUCUCCUUCUCUCUUAUAAGGACAUUUAUAAUGACAUUUACAGCUCACUGGAUAAUCCUGGAUAAUCUCCCCAUGUCAAGAUUCUUAAUCACAUCUGCAAAGACCCUUCUUCUAUGUAAGGUAAUGUUUAUAGUUUCUGGGGAUUAGAACCUUAUAUCUUUGGGAUCAUCAUUCAGCCUACUAUAGGCAUGCACUCUGUUCUCUCUCACAUACAUAGUAACACUCGAUAUAUAUACUAGGAGUCAUCACUGGACGACUUGGAGAACACUAACUAAUAAGUGCUUAUUUUGAGCACCUGCUCUGUGCUGAGCUCUGUCCAAGUUGCAGCAACAAAACAAAGGAAGUGUGAAACACAACCUCUGCCUUGAAGUAAAAGACAAAUAUGGUUGGAAGAAAAGACUCAUACACAAGUGACAUAAAUAGAAACUCUACAAAACAGAAGAUAGUCAUAUAGUAUAGAUUAUAAAUGCUAUGAGUUCAAAUAAAGGAGAUCUUUAUUUAAAAAGAAUAGAAAAUAUUAGCAAUUUUAAAGCCUGCAGUUUUUCAGAGACAAUCUACAUUUUUCACUAUUUGGGGAGUUCCAUAUAAAAUUACUUGUAACACCUACAAGGCACAAGUGAAUAAAAAACUGGAUGAUUAAAUAACCUUAGUGGUAUUAUUGACUUUUGCAAAAGCUUGAAGCAGUAUCUUAUAUCCAACUGGUCAUCUUUGUUAUUAAUUAUAAUUGGAUGUUGAUGAUACUCUGUAUUGAAGAACAAAUUGGUUUGUAGAAGAUGAAUUUCUUUCUUUUUUUUUUUUUGAGACAGGGUCUCACUCUGUUGCCCAGGCUGGAGUGCUGUGGUGCUAUCACAGCUCACUGAAGCCAUGACCUCCCAGCCUCAGGUGAUCCUCCCCGCUCAGCCUCAUGAGUAGCUGGGACUACAGGCACAUGCCACCAUGCCCAGCUAAUUUUUUGUAAUUUUCUUUGUAGCGACGGGGUUUUGCCAUGUUGCCCAGGCUGGUCUUGAGCUCCUGGGCUCAAUCUAUCCACCCACCUUGGCCUCCUAAAGCGAUAGGCUUAAAGGUGCAAACCACCACGCCCAGCCGGAAUCAGAACUAUCGAUAAAAUGGGGCAUAUUACCAGAAACAAGAUGUAUAUGCUUGAAAGUGUUCAGUGGGCAUUGUGGUGGAUGUUCAAACACUCAUUCCAGUCCAAUUAUAUUGCCACGUAUUUGUUUCUGUAUUGGGUACCUACAAGGAGGAGAUAGUCCCUUCUUCCUCUAGACUUUGCCAUAUCUGGAUAUGAUGCUUGGGAUUACUUAGCCACUUUGCUACCAAUAUUUGCAAAUCUAAGAGCUGGAUAGAACUUGGUGUAUGAUGGCAUUACUGAAAGGAUAUAUUGAGCAACUGCAGAUUUUGCCCUGUUCAGACCUCUUAUUAACUGAGUUAAGACAAUUCCUUCUUCUUUAAAUCAGUCUUUAUUUGGUUUCCUAAUAUUGUACUACACAGAAUCUUAACUGAUACAAAGUAUAAAAAUAAAGAAACCGUAUAUGUCUUAAUGCAAUUUUAAAAAGAGAAAGCAACAAAAUACAGAAUUUAUAUGAAAAUAUGUAACUGCUAGGAAUGGUUAACUCUUAAAUGGGAUUUAUUUGGUAUUUAUUAUAGGUUGGACAUUGGACUAAAUUCUUUAUAUAUACUAACUAAUUUAAUCUUUACAGUACUUCUAAUUAGGUGGUUACCAUUAUCAUCCCCAUUUAGGAGAUGACAAAGUAUCUGCUGUUAAUUUGCUAGUAAUUGGCAGAGCCAGGAUUAGACCCCAGGCAGUCAAAUUCUAGACUCUAAUUCCAGGCACUGUAAUUCCAGUGCUCUAAUGCAUUAUGCUAGACUGCCUCUUGCUUCUUUAUUCCUCUCUGAUUUUUUUUUUAAGUGGCUAUUGGGCCAGGUGCUAUGGCUCAUGCCUGUAAUCCCAGCACUUUGGGAGGCUGAGGUGGGUGGAUCAUGACGUCACAAGUUCGAGACCAGCCUGGCCAAUAUG